AUUGAACGCUGGCGGCAGGCCUAACACAUGCAAGUCGAGCGGAGCGGCGGACGGGUGAGUAAUGCCUAGGAAUCUGCCUGGUAGUGGGGGAUAACGUCCGGAAACGAGCGCUAAUACCGCAUACUAUCAGAUGAGCCUAUGUCGGAUUAGCUAGGUGGUGGGGUAAAGGCCUCCCAAGGCGACGAUCCGUACCGGGCCUGCGAGGAUGAUCAGUCACCCUGGAACUGGGACCCGGUCCAGACUCCUACGGGAGGCAGCAGUGGGGAAUAGUGGACAAUGGGCGAAAGCCUGAUCCAGCCAUGCCGCGUGUGUGAAGAAGGUCUUCGGAUUGUAAAGCACUUUAAGUUGGGAGGCGUUCCCAACAGAAUAAGCACCGGCUAACUUCGUGCCAGCAGCCGCGGUAAUUC
RNAcentral lists this ribosomal RNA (407 nucleotides) under uncultured bacterium. RNAcentral's name for it is "partial 16S ribosomal RNA". It matches the Rfam family "Bacterial small subunit ribosomal RNA", at positions 30 to 526 of the family's 1533-position model. The record is from RNAcentral.